CUUACCAGGGAACUAUGAGCCCCAGCUUAAAACCCAAAGGACUUGGCGGUGCCUAAGACCCCCCUAGAGGAGCCUGUUCUAUAAUCGAUACCCCACGUUAAACCUCACCCUUAAUCGCUUAUUCCGUCUAUAUACCGCCGUCGUCAGCUCACCCUAUGAAGGAACAACAGUCAGCAUAGUUGGUAAAACCCAAAACGUCAGGUCAAGGUGUAGCAUAUGUAAGGGGAAGAAAUGGGCUACAUUUACUGAAACAGUAAAUACGGAUACUACUUUGAAAUAAGUAGCUUGAAGGAGGAUUUAGUAGUAAAAAAAAAAUAGAGUGUUUUUCUGAAACUGGCCCUUAAGCGCGCACACACCGCCCGUCACUCUCCCCAACAACCAGCACAAGCUAUAUAAAACUUUUUAUAAAAAAGAGGAGGCAAGUCGUAACAUGGUAAGUGUACUGGAAAGUGUACUUGGAACAU
This 464-nucleotide ribosomal RNA is filed under the name Brachygobius xanthomelas (bumblebee goby). RNAcentral describes it as "partial 12S ribosomal RNA". It matches the Rfam family "Bacterial small subunit ribosomal RNA", at positions 868 to 1533 of the family's 1533-position model. Lineage: Eukaryota; Metazoa; Chordata; Actinopteri; Gobiiformes; Gobiidae. The record is from RNAcentral.